Non-coding RNA from Bos taurus (domestic cattle), 72 nucleotides. NCBI's taxonomy places the organism in Eukaryota, Metazoa, Chordata, Mammalia, Artiodactyla, Bovidae. The record is from Rfam.
UCCCUGCUAGCUUAGCUGGUAAAGAAUCUGCCUGCAAUGCAGGCAACCCUGGUUCGAUUCCUGGGUCAGGAA